GAUGAACGCUGACAGAAUGCUUAACACAUGCAAGUCUACUUGAAUUUGGGUUUUUAACUUAGGUUUGGGUGGCGGACGGGUGAGUAACGCGUAAAGAACUUGCCUCACAGCUAGGGACAACAUUUAGAAAUGAAUGCUAAUACCUAAUAUUAUGAUAAUAGGGCAUCCUAUAAUUAUGAAAGCUGUAUGCGCUGUGAGAGAGCUUUGCGUCCUAUUAGCUAGUUGGUAAGGUAAAGGCUUACCAAGGCGAUGAUAGGUAGCCGGCCUGAGAGGGUGGACGGCCACAAGGGGACUGAGAUACGGCCCUUACUCCUACGGGAGGCAGCAGUGGGGAAUAUUGGACAAUGGAGGAAACUCUGAUCCAGCAAUUCUGUGUGUGUGAAGAAGGUCUUCGGAUUGUAAAACACUUUUAGUUGGGAAGAAACAAAUGA
Molecule: ribosomal RNA, 431 nt
Filed under: Fusobacteria bacterium oral taxon 220
Lineage: Bacteria; Fusobacteriati; Fusobacteriota
Description: bacterial SSU rRNA
Rfam family: Bacterial small subunit ribosomal RNA
Source: RNAcentral